RNAcentral lists this ribosomal RNA (438 nucleotides) under Salmonella enterica subsp. enterica serovar Typhimurium. Its description in RNAcentral is "partial 23S ribosomal RNA". It matches the Rfam family "Bacterial large subunit ribosomal RNA", at positions 123 to 601 of the family's 2925-position model. The record is from RNAcentral. Lineage: Bacteria; Pseudomonadati; Pseudomonadota; Gammaproteobacteria; Enterobacterales; Enterobacteriaceae.
GAAACCCAGUGUGAUUCGUCACACUAUCAUUAACUGAAUCCAUAGGUUAAUGAGGCGAACCGGGGGAACUGAAACAUCUAAGUACCCCGAGGAAAAGAAAUCAACCGAGAUUCCCCCAGUAGCGGCGAGCGAACGGGGAGGAGCCCAGAGCCUGAAUCAGCAUGUGUGUUAGUGGAAGCGUCUGGAAAGGCGCGCGAUACAGGGUGACAGCCCCGUACACAAAAGCGCAUGUGCUGUGAGCUCGAUGAGUAGGGCGGGACACGUGGUAUCCUGUCUGAAUAUGGGGGGACCAUCCUCCAAGGCUAAAUACUCCUGACUGACCGAUAGUGAACCAGUACCGUGAGGGAAAGGCGAAAAGAACCCCGGCGAGGGGAGUGAAAAAGAACCUGAAACCGUGUACGUACAAGCAGUGGGAGCACCCUUCGGGGUGUGACUGCG